GCAUCGGCCAUUGUUUUGCCAUGUAGAAGAGGUAUCUCACAUUCCUUGCGUCAAGAUAGGUGAAGAAGUGAUCAUAAGAUAUGAGCUCUCUCUCCCUCUCGCUCACAUACAAAUCUUUUCGCAGGACAACAUAUCUUCUCUUGGAGAGAUAUUCAUUUGCAAGGUUUCUUUAUGUGUCAUUUCCAGAGGAGGGUUUACUAUUUAAUAGAAAGGUUCACCUGGAAUAUCUCAACUGACACAUUCCCAAAUACAGGCAUUGAAUGCACAACAUUUUGAGAAGCCUACUUUUUGACAUAGGUGGCAUGGCACAAACUCGCAUCCGCAUUUCCUUCCCCAUUGGCAUGCUGUCUCAUCUUUUCUGUUCUGUUACCAGCUUGAAGCUUGUGUAGAUAUGUUAUGCUCUUGUAAUUCUGAUCACAAACAUCGCUUGACAAAUGGAAAGUCACAAUUAGAUCUUUCAGGAACAGGCCAAACAUGUUCAUACGUGGCAUUGCUCAAGUCAUCAUCAUUUGGGACAGAGAAUCAGCCUUCAAAUGUCUGCUGAGUCAAUGAUCCUUUCUAGAUAUCUCAAGUGUAAUGGAAAUUGAUGAGUUAUAAAGGAUUUGUAAACAUUUUCUACUGGAGGCUAGAAAUGCUUCUCAUAAGUGGCUGUGUUGCAAUUAUUUUGUAGGAUCAAAGACUCUGCAAAGAGCUAAGAAAGUCAUCAUCAAGUAACUUUUAUUUUUA
Prunus dulcis (almond) is the source of this 726-nucleotide long non-coding RNA. RefSeq lists it as uncharacterized. Lineage: Eukaryota; Viridiplantae; Streptophyta; Magnoliopsida; Rosales; Rosaceae. The record is from RefSeq and is a predicted model, not a curated record. The transcript is spliced from 4 exons.